UCAAGCCAACUUGGGCAAAGUUGUAAAUGCACAAGUAACUCUGUCCCUCUAAAAACCCUAAAACUCUUUACAACUCUCUUACCUCAAGCACAUCGUUUGCGAGAAAACUAGCCGCUUGUGUUUGCUUCUCUUUCCUUUCCUCUUCCUUCAGUUCAUUUGGUUUCUUGCAGAAUGGAUUCACAGAUUAAGCACGCCGUGGUUGUGAAAGUUAUGGGUAGGACUGGAUCUAGAGGUCAGGUGACUCAAGUUAGAGUGAAGUUUCUUGACGACCAGAAUCGUUUUAUCAUGAGGAAUGUUAAGGGACCUGUUAGAGAAGGAGACGUGCUUACCCUUCUCGAAUCUGAAAGGGAAGCUAGGAGACUCCGUUAAUGGUUGCAUCUUUGCAUUUGUUUUGGUGAUAGUAGCAAGACUGUUUUGUUAUGUUAGCUAGAGGAAUUGGUCAUGCUGUCAUGAGCUUUUGUUAUCUGGUUUUACAUUUAUGUCAAGACUUCAACUUUUGAUUUAUGUGUUAUUAUCUAAGGAAUGCUUGAAAUUUUGAAGUAUGAAAAGACCUUAAAGAUUGGUUUGAA
Non-coding RNA from Jatropha curcas, 569 nucleotides. The record is from RefSeq and is a predicted model, not a curated record. NCBI's taxonomy places the organism in Eukaryota, Viridiplantae, Streptophyta, Magnoliopsida, Malpighiales, Euphorbiaceae.